This 542-nucleotide ribosomal RNA is filed under the name Russula sp. Its description in RNAcentral is "SSU rRNA". It matches the Rfam family "Bacterial small subunit ribosomal RNA", at positions 360 to 953 of the family's 1533-position model. Lineage: Eukaryota; Fungi; Basidiomycota; Agaricomycetes; Russulales; Russulaceae. The record is from RNAcentral.
AAUAUUAGUCAAUGCUCGAAAGAGUGAACUAGCUAACUGAAAUCAAUUAUAAUAAUUGAUAACAUAAGGGAAAAUAAUGAUAUUACCUUAUUAUUAGUGUCGUCCAAAACUGGUGCCAGAAGACUCGGUAAGGCCAGAGACACAAACGUUAAUCGUCUUAAUCAGGCGUAAAGGGUUUGUAGGCGGCUUUAAAAUUUACUUAAAUAUAUAUUAAGUAAAGAAUAAAAGCUAGAAUCAAAUAGAGGAUAUAUGAAAGAAUGCUUAGAGUAGGUCUGAUAUCCUUAGAUACUAAGUAGAAUAUUAAAGGCGAAAGCUUUUUUCCAUUAAUGAUUGACGCUCAGAAACGAAGGUGAGGAUAGGAAAUAGGAUUAGAUACCCAGAAUACCCCUCUCUGUCAACGAUGAAUGGUAGUUAUUAGUAAAAAUUAUUAAUGGCAAUGUUAACACGAUAACCAUUCCGCCUUGUGAGUACAACUGCAAAGUUGAAAACAAAAAAAUUAGUCGGUUUCGGAGCAAACGAAGUGAAGCAUGUUAUUUAAUUCG